CCGCCCCGGCAGAGCCAGAUAGAGGGGACACAGGGAACAAGCUAACUCCCCAGACUCCCCCCAGCUGCCUUUCAUAGUCACAGCAGUGCUGAGCUGAAUAAGAAGAUUUAGCCGAAAGGGGGCGGGGCUACACGGCACUGUACACAGUGCCAAUCCAGCAAGCAGCAUGGGAGACAGAAGCUCACUGUGUAGCAGCAGAAGACCCUAAACACAGCACAGGACACCACCACUGUGAAUGGACUGAUGCAGCACAAGACACCACCACUGGACUGAUGCAGCACAAGGCAGCACUGUUAUGACACAUAAUAGUAGGUCGCCAGCCCACGUGCCUCACCACUUUCCAGCACAGACACUGAGGAGACACGUCCUCUCUCUACACUCUCCAGGACUGGAGUGAAGAUGGCGAUGACGCGUGGCUCCUUAUAUGGAAUCCAAACCCUGUGAGAAUCCGACAGCGGGACAAUGACGUUUUGCCUCGUUCUGGUUUCCGAGUCUGGCGGGAAAACCCGAGCAGGACUCAGAUCCGGACUUGGAGCGUGAAGUUCGGGGGCUUUGGUUCUCAGGGAACUGAACCCGCUCAUCCCUAUUUCAAUCCUAUUUGCAAGUGUACCUAGAAGAAUUCAUGCUGUGAUGCUGUUUUGAAGGCAAAGUAAACAAAAUAAACUAUUAACAUUUCUAUUUUUGAAAGCAUUUUUACUUUGCAGCAUUUUUUCUGCACCUGCCUAAAACUUGUAUAUAUCUGCUGUGACAAUAAAGUUCUAUGUGGAGAUGAUGUAGGGUGAAACAGAAACACACUAGGAGGUAUGUGGUCUUUUGGAAACAAUGCAUGAUCAUGUAAUUUAGUAGGUCCAGUCAUGUUAGUGGGAUUUCUAAUAUGUUAACACACCAUUUUUUCCCCUAAUUAUCUAUCUAUCUAUCUAUCUAUCUAUCUAUCUAUCUAUCUAUCUAUCUAUCUAUCUAUCUAUUUCCUAAUCACACACUGUAUUUCUGUUAUACUGUAUAUGUGUAGAUUAUAUGUAUAUAUGUAUAUAAUUGAGAAAUUCCCACUCCUGGGAUGUAUUUUAUUGCAUUAAUUGUGUUCUGAAUAACAUAAUAUUACAUUUGUUAGACGUUCCAAUAUUCUGGUCACUGUGUACAAUGUUUUCACUUAUUUUGGGCUUACCUUGAAAAAGACCAGGGGAGGAUCGGAACACGUGGCUGCCUUGCGGAACCCCCAAGAGUGAGUGCAUUUUACCAAUUCGACAUAUGCGGCUGGACUGAAACCAUGAGGGAGACCCAGGACUGCAGCCGGGAGUUGCCUAUAUGGCUUUCACGCUUUAUGACCUGACCGUUGCCGGUUCUUACCACAGGCUGGUAAUUUGCUAUUUUUUCGGUCAUCUUUGGAUUCAGUGUAUGAUUGAUUACCAGUUUUUCUGUGAUAUGUAGGAUCUUAUAUAGAAUGUUUAUAUGGAAUAUUUGUCUGUCAUUGUUUUUAACCAUUGUUUAACUUUUUUUUUUAGAAUUUAUAAUAAAUGGUAUCACACUAUAUAUACUUUUCCUUUGUUUUUCUGAGUUACUCCCCAUUAAGUGUCUGCUGUGAGGAAGUUGUUCCAUUAUGAGGAGUUGGCAUAUGACUCAGAAAUUGGGAAAAUGAAUCACCUGAAGCCCGUGAUGCAACUUUUCCUUUCAAGAAGAUUGGAGUAUGAAUGAUCCAAGGAUACAGGCAGUCUGCAGUUUUUCAAAGAAGUCAGUAAAAGAUUGCUAAAAAUUACAUUAUGCCUUUCAUCACAUUCAGAAAAAGAGUGGCCCGCUGCCAAUCUGAAAAGAAAUCCAUGGCUUGAGUAGAUCAUUGACGUGAAAAAGAUGUUUAAUAAAAGUAUUAGGAGAUCAGGCAGAAUAAAAA
Molecule: long non-coding RNA, 1882 nt
Organism: Pseudophryne corroboree (corroboree frog)
Lineage: Eukaryota; Metazoa; Chordata; Amphibia; Anura; Myobatrachidae
Exons: 3
Source: RefSeq, a predicted model, not a curated record